CUCUGGCCCACACUAUGCUCUCUUUGCCCUUGACUCCAGGACCCGAACCAGGCCUACGCACCAUUAGCAUGCAAGCUCUGACCCCUGGGGCCGAGCCGCGACACAACACAUCAUGACAUCCUCUCACACUCAUCAAAGACGGCAGACGCUUCUGUAAAUCUGUAGAAAAGCAAAUUUGGGGGAACCAUGCAUUUAGAGUUUCCCAUGAGG
Pelobates cultripes (western spadefoot toad) is the source of this 210-nucleotide non-coding RNA. The record is from the annotation of a GenBank genome assembly. Lineage: Eukaryota; Metazoa; Chordata; Amphibia; Anura; Pelobatidae.